GCCAGUGUGUCGUAGUGGUUUGAGUGUUGGACCAUGACUCUGGAGACCAGGGUUCGAAUCCCCACUCGGCCA
Molecule: transfer RNA, 72 nt
Filed under: Phrynosoma platyrhinos (Desert horned lizard)
Lineage: Eukaryota; Metazoa; Chordata; Lepidosauria; Squamata; Phrynosomatidae
Description: tRNA-OTHER
Source: RNAcentral